This 379-nucleotide long non-coding RNA is filed under the name Olea europaea (common olive). RNAcentral's name for it is "long non-coding RNA (OEUR_LNC002258)". The record is from RNAcentral. Lineage: Eukaryota; Viridiplantae; Streptophyta; Magnoliopsida; Lamiales; Oleaceae.
CAGAACAAGGCAAACAGGUUAAAAUGAUAAAUACAUAUAUUCAAUAAAUGUGACCUAAAGAGUUAAUACCUAAAUGGAUGAGCACACAGGGCUCGCCGCUGGAGAGUGGAGAUGAGUAAGAGCUGCAGCAAGACACCGGUUGGAUUGGAGGAAAAUAGAAAACUUAUGGGUAGACCAGUGGUUCACUAACGGAAAAAAGAGAAAACUUUAACAGCAAAGUUUUUGGAGAGGCCGAAGGGAGAUUUCAAUCUUCAGAUUUGGGAAUUCUGAUCCUCCGAAUGGAAGAAGACGAGUAGACGACUUACCUUUUGGUUGAAUCGGUCCCUUCAAUUUCCUUCCCGUCCCUUCAAUUUCCUUCCUGUUUUCUGUUGGAUUGUUA